This 429-nucleotide ribosomal RNA is filed under the name Gemmatimonadota bacterium. RNAcentral's name for it is "Gemmatimonadetes bacterium partial 16S ribosomal RNA". It matches the Rfam family "Bacterial small subunit ribosomal RNA", at positions 355 to 776 of the family's 1533-position model. The record is from RNAcentral. Lineage: Bacteria; Pseudomonadati; Gemmatimonadota.
UAGGGAAUCUUCGGCAAUGGACGAAAGUCUGACCGAGCAACGCCGCGUGAGUGAAGAAGGUUUUCGGAUCGUAAAACUCUGUUGUUAGAGAAGAACAAGGACGUUAGUAACUGAACGUCCCCUGACGGUAUCUAACCAGAAAGCCACGUCUAACUACGUGCCAGCAGCCGCGGUAAUACGUAGGUGGCAAGCGUUGUCCGGAGUUAUUGGGCGUAAAGCGAGCGCAGGCGGUUUCUUAAGUCUGAUGUGAAAGCCCCCGGCUCAACCGAGGAGGGUCAUUGGAAACUGUGAGACUUGAGUGCAGAAGAGGAGGGAGGAAUUCCAUGUGUAGCGGUGAAAUGCGUAGAUAGAUGGAGGAACACCAGUGGCGAAGGCGGCUCGCUGGUCUGUAACUGACGCUGAGGCUCGAAAGCGUGGGGAGCAAACAGG